GGAUGCGAUCAUACCAGCACUAAAGCACCAGAUGCCAUCUGAACUUCGAAGUUAAGCGUGUUUGGGCGAGAGUAGUACUAGGAUGGUUGACCUCCUGGGAAGUCCUCGUGUUGCAUUCC
Triticum aestivum (bread wheat) is the source of this 119-nucleotide non-coding RNA. The record is from Rfam. Lineage: Eukaryota; Viridiplantae; Streptophyta; Magnoliopsida; Poales; Poaceae.